RNAcentral lists this ribosomal RNA (468 nucleotides) under uncultured bacterium. RNAcentral's name for it is "partial 16S ribosomal RNA". It matches the Rfam family "Bacterial small subunit ribosomal RNA", at positions 28 to 507 of the family's 1533-position model. The record is from RNAcentral.
GACGAACGCUGGCGGCGUGCUUAACACAUGCAAGUCGAACGGAAAGGCCCUGCUUUUGUGGGGUGCUCGAGUGGCGAACGGGUGAGUAACACGUGAGUAUACUGUCCUUGACUUUGGGAUAACUUCAGGAAACUGGGGCUAAUACCGGAUAGGAGCUACUGCUGCAUGGUGGGGGUUGGAAAGUUUCGGCGGUUGGGGAUGGAAUCGCGGCUUAUCAGCUUGUUGGUGGGGUAGUGGCUGACCAAGGCUUCGACGGGUAGCCGGCCUGAGAGGGUGACCGGCCACAAUGGGACUGAGAUACGGCCCAGACUCCUACGGGAGGCAGCAGUGGGGAAUAUUGCACAAUGGGCGGAAGCCUGAUGCAGAGACGCCGCGUGCGGGAUGACGGCCUUCGGGUUGUAAACCGCUUUCGCCUGAGACGAAGCGUGAGUGACGGUAAUGGGUAAAGAAGCACCGGCUAACUACGUG